RNAcentral lists this ribosomal RNA (392 nucleotides) under uncultured bacterium. Its description in RNAcentral is "bacterial SSU rRNA". It matches the Rfam family "Bacterial small subunit ribosomal RNA", at positions 28 to 419 of the family's 1533-position model. The record is from RNAcentral.
GACGAACGCUGGCGGCGUGCUUAACACAUGCAAGUCGAGCGGUAAGGCCCUUUCGGGGGUACGACGAGCGGCGAACGGGUGAGUAACACGUGGGUGACCUGCCCUCAGCUCUGGGAUAAGCCUGGGAAACCGGGGUCUAAUACCGGAUAUGACUCCAUGACGCAUGUUGUGGGGUGGAAAGCCUUGUGCGGCUGAGGAUGGGCCCGCGGCCUAUCAGCUUGUUGGUGGGGUGAUGGCCUACCAAGGCGACGACGGGUAGCCGGCCUGAGAGGGCGACCGGCCACACUGGGACUGAGACACGGCCCAGACUCCUACGGGAGGCAGCAGUGGGGAAUCUUGCGCAAUGGGCGAAAGCCUGACGCAGCGACGCCGCGUGAGGGAUGACGGCCUGG